ACUUAGCAGAUAGAAUGUGGCCCAGGCUGGAGUCGCUCUGCAUCACAAGCAGAGAUUGGCCUUGGACACUCAGGGUGUAGAAGUGAUUCAUAGGCUACGAGAAGUGGCUGCAGGCAGCUAGUCCCUGGAAGGUGGCUUAGAGUUUGUAGCAGGUCCCUGAAGAUCUGGAGAUGUGAUGAAGUUGCACUUGAAACAAAUCAGAAGACCCUCGCCCAACAGCAGGGGAGCCACUUUGAGGAAACACAACAGCUGCAUCCACCAUGAGCACCAUCCCUCUGCCUUCCCAUACCUAUGGAGUGACCAGGCCUGUAUCACUCUCAUUAGAGUCUGUCUAGUUCAUCCCAGGAAACACCGGGCACCAUCUCUGCUCAGAAUUCCUUUUCUAUCACAAAAGAAACCUGGAAGGUUGAGGAAGAGGCAUAAUUUAUUCAAGGUGGCACAGCUCAGCUGGUGGCAGAAUCCAUCUAGAGCAUUCUCUGGCCCCAGCUCAGGGCUCUUUCCACAAAACCACCGCCCAGGCUCCUUUCAAGGAGGAAGACUAGCUUUGAAGUCUUUCCAGGGACCUCCCUGAGUGCUGAGAGCUUUCUGGUGAUGGCUCCCAGACUGAGGCCAGGCCCUGGGUGCCAGGGUGCCACCUGCAGAGAGGCUGCAGAAGAACUGAACUCUGUGGGCAGAACAGACACCCAGGAAGAGACAUCAGCUGGAGUGUCAGUCAGGGCCCAGGGGAGGUGCUGAUUCUCGAUUCUCUUUCUCGGGUGACCCUGGAGCAUAGCUUCAACCAGAUAAUCAAACAGGAACUAAUUAGCACCUUCCUUCCGAGCAGGGCCCUCUGGGGCAAAGGCUGCUCAGUGGAGAGAGAAACCCAUUAAUUACUUUAUCAGGAAGCACUGAUAAGCACCCAAAAAAGGUAUUGCUCUGAGGCUCAGGCUUAUUAAGGAGGGCUGCAGGUGGCAGGAUGCCUCCCUGCCUGGGAGCACAGCCACUUUAAUCCCUAACCCCCUGGAUUGAGGGCCAGAAGAGACUUUAUUUAUUUAUUUAGCCACCAGGCUUAUUGCUGGGGCUCAGUGCUACAAAUCCACCACUACCCCCCCCCCCCAAUACUUAUAUUUUAUUGGAUAGGACAGAGAGAAAUUGAGAGGGGAGAGGAGAAUAAAGAGGAAGAGAGAAUGAGAGACACGCGGAGACCUUCUUCACAGUGAAGCUUCCUCCCUGCAUGAGGGAAGGGGGGUUAGAACCUGGGUCCUUGAGCUUGGUAAUGUGUGGACUCAAUUGAUUAUUCAUGGUCCAGCUGUCCAGGAAAGACUUGUAGGUCCCAAAGGUGAGGGGUGGAGGUUCUCUACCUUUGUUGUUCAGUACCCCCAACCCUGGAGGCCUAGGGAAUCAGGACUAGCUUAACCUAACUGAGUGGGGGUUGGGGAGUGGCCAAGGAUGGGUGGGAUGGUCUGGCUAGUUCUCAGGACCACAUGCAACUGUACCACCAGCUUCAAAAGGCUGUGUGUGCUUUCUUACACCCAUCAUAUGGGUGGAGGUUAAUAGGAGGCUCAGAAAACAAAGCAUCUACAUGCCCAAGGCCCCAGAGGUGACAGGUUCAAUCCUGGACAUGACCAUAACACAUCUGAGUUGGGCAGUGUUCAGGUCUCUUGAUCUCAUAAUAAAUU
Erinaceus europaeus (western European hedgehog) is the source of this 1658-nucleotide long non-coding RNA. RefSeq lists it as uncharacterized. Lineage: Eukaryota; Metazoa; Chordata; Mammalia; Eulipotyphla; Erinaceidae. The record is from RefSeq and is a predicted model, not a curated record. The transcript is spliced from 3 exons.